GAUGAACGCUGGCGGCGUGCCUAAUACAUGCAAGUCGAGCGAACGGACGAGAAGCUUGCUUCUCUGAUGUUAGCGGCGGACGGGUGAGUAACACGUGGAUAACCUACCUAUAAGACUGGGAUAACUUCGGGAAACCGGAGCUAAUACCGGAUAAUAUUUUGAACCGCAUGGUUCAAAAGUGAAAGACGGUCUUGCUGUCACUUAUAGAUGGAUCCGCGCUGCAUUAGCUAGUUGGUAAGGUAACGGCUUACCAAGGCAACGAUGCAUAGCCGACCUGAGAGGGUGAUCGGCCACACUGGAACUGAGACACGGUCCAGACUCCUACGGGAGGCAGCAAUAGGGAAUCUUCCGCAAUGGGCGAAAGCCUGACGGAGCAACGCCGCGUGAGUGAUGAAGGUCUGCGGAUCGUAAAACUCUGUUAUUAGGGAAGAACAUAUGUGUAAGUAACUGUGCACAUCUUGACGGUACCUAAUCAGAAAGCCACGGCUAACUAC
This 494-nucleotide ribosomal RNA is filed under the name uncultured bacterium. Its description in RNAcentral is "partial 16S ribosomal RNA". It matches the Rfam family "Bacterial small subunit ribosomal RNA", at positions 28 to 504 of the family's 1533-position model. The record is from RNAcentral.